RNAcentral lists this transfer RNA (73 nucleotides) under Paracidovorax wautersii. Its description in RNAcentral is "tRNA-Leu". The record is from RNAcentral. Lineage: Bacteria; Pseudomonadati; Pseudomonadota; Betaproteobacteria; Burkholderiales; Comamonadaceae.
AACCUCAGUUGUGUGGGGGACUCAAAAUCCCCCGCCGCAAGGCGUGCCGGUUCGAUUCCGGCCCCGGGCACCA